UACAGAGGGUGCAAGCGUUAAUCGGAGUUACUGGGCGUAAAGGGCGCGUAGGUGGUUAUGUAAGUGAGAUGUGAAAUCCCUGGGCUUAACCUAGGAACUGCAUCUUAUACUGCAUAACUGGAGUACUGUAGAGGGUAGUGGAAUUUCCGGUGUAGCGGUGAAAUGCGUAGAGAUCGGAAGGAACACCAGUGGCGAAGGCGGCUACCUGGACAGAUACUGACACUGAGGCGCGAGAGCGUGGGGAGCAACAGG
Molecule: ribosomal RNA, 252 nt
Filed under: uncultured bacterium
Lineage: Bacteria
Description: partial 16S ribosomal RNA
Rfam family: Bacterial small subunit ribosomal RNA
Source: RNAcentral